AAUAGAUACCCAGGUAGUCCACGCCGUAAACGGUGGGCACUAGGUGUGGGCGACAUUCCACGUCGUCCGUGCCGCAGCUAACGCAUUAAGUGCCCCGCCUGGGGAGUACGGCCGCAAGGCUAAAACUCAAAGGAUUGACGGGGGCCCGCACAAGCGGCGGAGCAUGUGGCUUAAUUCGACGCAACGCGAAGAACCUUACCAAAGCUUGACAUACACCGGAAACGUCCAGAGAUGGGCGCCCCCUUGUGGUCGGUGUACAGGUGGUGCAUGGCUGUCGUCAGCUCGUGUCGUGAGAUGUUGGGUUAAGUCCCGCAACGAGCGCAACCCUUGUCCCGUGUUGCCAGCAGGCCCUUGUGGUGCUGGGGACUCACGGGAGACCGCCGGGGUCAACGUCGGAGGAAGGUGGGGACGACGUCAAGUCAUCAUGCCCCUUAUGUCUUGGGCUGCACACGUGCUACAAUGGCCGGUACAAUGAGCUGCGAUACCGCGAGGUGGAGCGAAUCUCAAAAAGCCGGUCUCAGUUCGGAUUGGGGU
This 534-nucleotide ribosomal RNA is filed under the name uncultured bacterium. RNAcentral describes it as "bacterial SSU rRNA". It matches the Rfam family "Bacterial small subunit ribosomal RNA", at positions 777 to 1304 of the family's 1533-position model. The record is from RNAcentral.